UCCACAUGGAUUAUUACUGUCUAACAGCAGAAAAGUUUCGGUCUUUAUAGCCAGUCUCUCCAUUCCCUUUUUUUUUAGGAUUAUCUGGGAGGCAGGUGUCAAUAUGGCGACACCUGGAGGCACCACGCUGAGCUUCAAAAAUGCUCUUUGCUAAAACCAAUGAGGACGUCACAGAGGCCUCAGCCGCUCCUCGAUGCAGUUGCGGGCCUGCAGGAAGACCUUCCUCUGGGUGCGCUCGGUGAGAAUCCUCACAAACACCCCCGACAAGUUUACGCUGGCGAACAGCACCGCGUUGGCCACCAGCUGCACAAAAAGAACAAGAACAGACAUGCCCGACUGAGCCGCCAGCAUCCAUGUGGCUUGAGAUGAUGAGUGCAGCCGAGGUGUUUGUAUCCGCCUGCGCCGCGGUGACACGGCGCCCUGCCCUGCUGGCUCAUUUUGCUCGCUGACAUUUCUCCAAAUUGAGGCUCUGACAUGAAGGACAGGUUGGUGCAGAUGAAGCUUCGGAGGUGACCGAGCAACAACAACAGAAAAAAACCCACAACCCCACUGCAAAAAAAAACAAAACAAAACAUAAAGGUGGUGAAGAGGGUGGAGGAGGAGGCUGCGUACGGUACGAGGAGGUCUGUGUUUGUGUAGAGGGUGUAAAUCUAUAAAUUUAUAAUAAACUUUGAAAAUGUCAGCGCGAGCCUAGCGCCGUGUCAGACCAGGUGACCCAGAGAUUGCGGCUUUGAUUUGUUGAGGCGUCCCGCUCUGGUAAUCGCAGCCAGGUGAUUUCCUGGUCAUGGACCUGAUGUGUGUGUGUGUGUGUGUGUCGGGGGGGGGUUGCCAGUUGGCAGGGAUACACAGGCAACAGAUAAAUGGCAACCGGGCUCUUCGGCACAUUCAUGAAUAGGAACUCCUCCAUUGGGGCUGAGGAGGAAGCUGCUGCUUCGCUGCUGUUUGUAUUCAUGAAUAAACCUGCUUGCUGCCAUUCAAAAAUAACACAAUUAGCUCCAGAAGACAAGGAACAAGACGAGCACGGGUCCCGCUCUCGCACCGUCAUAUUUAUACAACCGCUGGAGCAAACCUCUCGUCUGCAUAAUCGCUCUGCAAAUCCAUUUACUCAGUUUACGCUUAAAAGUGCAGUUGUUGUUAAAAAAAUAAUGAGGUCAAAAUCAUUAAAUCAUCAAAAUACGUCUUUGACACUUGUUGCUUUAAAGCCUUU
Long non-coding RNA from Mugil cephalus (flathead mullet), 1207 nucleotides. RefSeq lists it as uncharacterized. Lineage: Eukaryota; Metazoa; Chordata; Actinopteri; Mugiliformes; Mugilidae. The record is from RefSeq and is a predicted model, not a curated record. The transcript is spliced from 3 exons.